AACGUAGGUGGCCAGCGUUAUCCGGAGGGGGUGUGCGUAAAGGGCGUGUAGGCGGUAUGUUAAGUCUGGCGUGAAAGCUCUCGGCUAAACCGGGAGAGGUCGUUGGAUACUGGCACACUUGAGGAUGGUAGAGGCGUGUGGAAUUCCGGGUGUAGUGGUGAAAUGCGUAGAGAUCCGGAGGAACACCAGUGGCGAAGGCGACACGCUGGGCCAUACCUGACGCUAAAGCGCGACAGCAUGGGGAGCAAACGGG
This 253-nucleotide ribosomal RNA is filed under the name uncultured bacterium. RNAcentral describes it as "partial 16S ribosomal RNA". It matches the Rfam family "Bacterial small subunit ribosomal RNA", at positions 524 to 776 of the family's 1533-position model. The record is from RNAcentral.